Molecule: ribosomal RNA, 482 nt
Filed under: uncultured bacterium
Lineage: Bacteria
Description: partial 16S ribosomal RNA
Rfam family: Bacterial small subunit ribosomal RNA
Source: RNAcentral
AUUGAACGCUGGCGGUAUGCUUUACACAUGCAAGUCGAACGGUAACAGGCCGCAAGGUGCUGACGAGUGGCGAACGGGGGAGUAAUGCAUCGGAACGUGCCCAGUCGUGGGGGAUAACUACUCGAAAGAGUAGCUAAUACCGCAUACGAUCUAUGGAUGAAAGCGGGGGACCGUAAGGCCUCGCGCGAUUGGAGCGGCCGCUGUCAGAUUAGGUAGUUGGUGGGGUAAAGGCUCACCAAGCCAACGAUCUGUAGCUGGUCUGAGAGGACGACCAGCCACACUGGGACUGAGACACGGCCCAGACUCCUACGGGAGGCAGCAGUGGGGAAUUUUGGACAAUGGGCGCAAGCCUGAUCCAGCAAUGCCGCGUGCAGGAAGAAGGCCUUCGGGUUGUAAACUGCUUUUGUACGGAACGAAACGGCUCUGGUUAAUACCCGGGGCUAAUGACGGUACCGUAAGAAUAAGCACCGGCUAACUACGUG